AAGGAACUUAAAAAAUCCCCAAAACAGGCAGGCCCUGUUGAAAAUUUUAACUCCUCAACUUUACUCAACUUUCAGGAUACCUACAAAAGAGACAGAGGAGGUUCCUUUGACCUGAACCUAAACCUAAACAGAGGAUGGACGAGAUAUAUGACUUCUUAAAAUCACGGGAUGUUUCAGAGGAAGUCAUACAACGACUGCAAAAGGAUAAGAUUGACUCCAGUGUCCUUCUGCUCAUGACAGAUGAGCAGCUUAAGGAGUAUCUCCCAUCUUAUGGUGACCGACUGGCACUUCUCGGAUAUUGCAGACGAAGGGAAAAUGAUCCUGCUGGCCGGAAAUCAAAACUUUUUGACCGACUGAGAGCCAAGAUUUCAAGGAACAAAGGCAACGAUCAAAAGCAGAUCUCAGAAAAUGUUAGCAUCGGAAAUGCUCAAAAAACUGUUCGAAAAGUUGAGAUAGGAUGGAUGAAUUCUCGAGAUGGGAAGUUUUUUAAAGUUCGGACAAAGAAAGGUGGUGGAACAAGAAAAAUUGAUGUGUCAAAGGAAUGUAGAAAAAAUGACUUAAUUGAAAAGGCAGUGGGUUUGUUUUUUCCGUCUCAAAGAAAUUCACAUGGAAGAAUUACAGAUUUUGAGGUUGACAUGACAGAUUUCCAGGAACAUUCACUUGAUGAACAUAUUACAGUUGGAGAACUUUAUGAGCAGACAAAACUACCUGUUUUGCGUUUUUACCUAACAACCAAAAAGAAGGACACUGGCAGCGACUCAGAACCAGACAACCCCAGUGGAAAUGACCAAGACACUUUAAGGUUUUCUACUUACUCUCAA
Molecule: long non-coding RNA, 821 nt
Organism: Gambusia affinis (western mosquitofish)
Lineage: Eukaryota; Metazoa; Chordata; Actinopteri; Cyprinodontiformes; Poeciliidae
Exons: 3
Source: RefSeq, a predicted model, not a curated record